CCUACGGGGGGCAGCAGUGGGGGAUAUUGCACAAUGGGGGGAACCCUGAUGCAGCGACGCCGCGUGUGGGAAGACGGUCCUCUGGAUUGUAAACCACUGUCCCCAGGGACGAAAAUGACGGUACUUGGGGAGGAAGCUCCGGCUAACUACGUGCCAGCAGCCGCGGCAAUACGUAGGGAGCGAGCGUUGUCCGGAAUUACUGGGUGUAAAGGGAGCGUAGGCGGGGAUGCAAGUUGGGGGUCAAAACUACCGGCUAAACUGGUAGUCGCACUCAAAACUGCAGCUCUUGAGUGAAGUAGAGGCAGGCGGAAUUCCUAGUGUAGCGGUGAAAUGCGUAGAUAUUAGGAGGAACACCAGUGGCGAAGGCGGCCUGCUGGGCUUUUACUGACGCUGAGGCUCGAAAGUGUGGGGAGCAAACAGGAUUAGAUACCCUUGUAGUC
RNAcentral lists this ribosomal RNA (440 nucleotides) under uncultured bacterium. Its description in RNAcentral is "partial 16S ribosomal RNA". It matches the Rfam family "Bacterial small subunit ribosomal RNA", at positions 338 to 795 of the family's 1533-position model. The record is from RNAcentral.